UCUGUCUUGGUGAGGCUGCUGGGCUGCACAGGUCUGGGAAGAUGAUAGAGCUGGAGUAGAGAAAAAGAGCCCAGAAGAGUCCUGGCCCCAUAUAAGCAAGCGUCUUCCACACCCAAGAUGGCCCCAUCAAUCAAGAUGGUCGUUGGUCACCGAAGCCUCAGUGUGGCACUCAGAAGGCAGCUCAGACCGUGCAUCACGCAGCUCUGCGAGUGAGGACGACGGGGAACAGACAUGGCCUGGAUAAAAUGAUGCCUCUUCACCGCUGAGCUUCAGGCUGCUGCAAUCUCCGAGUCAGUGAGUUUUAAGCCUGGCUGUGCGUGAGAAUGAAAAGACCCCACUGUCCAAAACACGGACAUGGGCUGCAACACGGUCUCCAGGGCUGUUAUCAA
Long non-coding RNA from Castor canadensis (American beaver), 389 nucleotides. RefSeq lists it as uncharacterized. The record is from RefSeq and is a predicted model, not a curated record. NCBI's taxonomy places the organism in Eukaryota, Metazoa, Chordata, Mammalia, Rodentia, Castoridae.